Misgurnus anguillicaudatus (oriental weatherfish) is the source of this 1110-nucleotide non-coding RNA. NCBI's taxonomy places the organism in Eukaryota, Metazoa, Chordata, Actinopteri, Cypriniformes, Cobitidae. The record is from RefSeq and is a predicted model, not a curated record.
AAAACUUUAAAGAGAGAAGUUGAAAAUUAGCAAUGCAUCACCAAAAAAAUCCAAUACUGACGUGGCAGCCGAGACAUGCAGCAUUCUAGGACGCAGCCUUAUUAAAAAAAAAAAAAAAAAAAAAAAAGGACGCAGCCUUAUUUAUUUUAUUUUAUAUAUGUAUAAUGUACCCCCUGACUGAACUUGUAUUUCUUAUUAUUUAAAAAAAUAUAUUAAAAAUAUUUUUAAAAGAACGCAGCUGUGCGUUUGAGAAACGACCGGAAACGACUUAUAUGUCGCGAGGCCAUCACGUGACCACAAUAUUUACCAGAAGACCGUUAUUUGCUCGAGUUCCCUCAACUUUUUUGUCGCAAAUAACAUUAUUAAUAACCUGUAAAUAAUAAAAUUUGUACACAUUACGUUCCUCUUCACGUUGUAAUAGUAUGUUUUUGGUUUAAUAGUCGGCUUUAAGUUAGUUUUUCUGUCAGUUUGGUCGUCAAAAUCUUGAAAGUUAUCUACAGCCACACAUCCACUGUAUACCAAGUUAUGAUGAUCAAUUAUGAGAAUGCAAAAGGAUUUAUAGAUCAGUAAACAACAACAAAAAGAUGGGUGCUCAUGGUGGCCUCCAAAUAAAUACAUGGACAGGCUGCUAAAGAGGGUCAGGAUGAUGGAGAUGAAAGAGCCAAAGACAGCAUGGAUCAAACACCAGUCCAGAAUUCUGCAUGAGUCAGAUUGAGUAAUUUUCACUCUAGAGACCCUGGGGUGACCACCAAGGACGAAUGAAAACUCCAGUGAGUGUCUCUAAGGUAGAUCCUAAUGCAGAUGGAUGGAAUGUUGAUCCGCCUAACAUGCAAGAUUUUCUGUACCGAGAACUUUGGAUGACCAUCAAGACAGUAAGUUUUCAAAAAUCUGACCUCAAUUUUAGUAACCAUUUAAGGAUUGUUUUUCUUUUAGUUGAUUUAAAUAAUACCCUAAAGUCCUCCGUUCAUCUUCGGAAACACUGUUUAAGAUAUUUUAGAUGUAGUCCGAGAGCUUGCUGACCCUCCAUUAAAAAUGUAUGUACGAUAUACUGUUCAUGUCCAGUUAGGUAAUAAAAACAUCAUCAAAGUAGUUCAUGUGACAUCAGUGGGU